RNAcentral lists this ribosomal RNA (814 nucleotides) under uncultured bacterium. Its description in RNAcentral is "bacterial SSU rRNA". It matches the Rfam family "Bacterial small subunit ribosomal RNA", at positions 9 to 873 of the family's 1533-position model. The record is from RNAcentral.
AGAGUUGUCCUGGCUCAGAAUGAACGCUGGCGGCAGGCCUAACACAUGCAAGUCAAACGGCUUCUUCGGAAGCAGUGGCGCACGGGUGCGUAACACGUGGGAAUAUACCCUUAGGUAUGGAAUAACUCAGUGAAAACUGUGCUAAUACCAUAUAACAUCUCCGGAUCAAAGAUUUAUCGCCUAGGGAUUAGCCCGCGUCUGAUUAGUUUGUUGGUGAGGUAAGAGCUCACCAAGACUACGAUCAGUAGCUGGUCUGAGAAGAUGAUCAGCCACACUGGAACUGAGACACGGUCCAGACUCCUACGGGAGGCAGCAGUGAGGAAUAUUGCACAAUGGAGGAAACUCUGAUGCAGCCAUGCCGCGUGAGUGAAGAAGGCCUUAGGGUUGUAAAUCUCUUUCAGUAGUGAAGAUAAUGACGGUAACUACAGAAGAAGCUCCGGCUAACUUCGUGCCAGCAGCCGCGGUAAUACGAAGGGAGCGAGCGUUAUUCGGAAUCACUGGGCUUAAAGCGUGCGUAGGCGGAUAGGAAAGUCAGAAGUGAAAUCCCAGGGCUCAACCCUGGAACUGCUUUUGAAACUUCCAAUCUAGAAUUCGGUAGAGGCUGAUGGAAUAUCAAGUGUAGAGGUGAAAUUCGCAGAUAUUUGAUGGAACACCAGUGGCGAAGCGAUCAGCUGGGCCGAUAUUGACGCUGAGUACGAAAGCGUGGGGAGCAAACAGGAUUAGAUACCCUGGUAGUCCACGCCGUAAACGAUGUGUGCUAGUUGUCGGGACCUUAAGUUUCGGCGACGGAGAGAAAUCAUUAAGCACACCGCCU